Molecule: long non-coding RNA, 655 nt
Organism: Monodelphis domestica (gray short-tailed opossum)
Lineage: Eukaryota; Metazoa; Chordata; Mammalia; Didelphimorphia; Didelphidae
Source: Ensembl
AUGCCACAGUUUUCUCAUCUGUGCACUGGGCUGACAAAAGUACCUUGUCUCUCACAGGACUGCUGGUAUAUGAGGGAAAUCAGACCUUCGAAUCACUAUCAUCUGGAGAAGUCCUUUGCCUUGUGGCAAUUUAUCAUUCUGGUGUUAUCCCCAGCUAUCCUGCCCGCUCCCUCCAUUCAGCUUUUCAUCAUCAUUUCAAUGCCAUUUGUUCAUCCUUUGCUAUUUUUAUUUUACAGGUGAGAAAACUCAGGCAAACAGGCUGACUUGCCCAGGGUCCCAUAAUUCAUAAAUGUCAGAGGGCUGGAUUUGAACUCAGGUCUUCUGCUUCUAGGCCCAGUCCUCAAUCCACUGAGCCACCUAGCAGGUUCCUGGUAUGUAGUAAAUAUUUAUUAAAUGUUUUUUGCCUUGUUGACUGACUGAAAUGCCUUUUCUGAAUGCCUCCUGAAAUAGAGCCCUCUCAAGUAACAAAGAAAAACAGUUAAACAAAAAGGUUCCUAUCUGAAUAUAGGCUGCUAGGUCAUGAAGUGGAUAGAAUGCUAGACUUGGAGUCAGAAAGACUUGAGUUCAAAUCCUCCUUUAAAUGCUUUAAUAGGGUUUCAACCCUGGACAAGUCAUGUAACUUCCGUGCCUCAGUUUCCUUAUCUAUAAAAAGAGG